GUGUACAGUUUCACAAUGGUAUAUCUUCUUCCUUCUCUACCUCUUUCGCUAUCUCUUUUGUUAUUUCGGUAUCACACCGAAACAAGAUGGUGUUCGAAUCGGUUUACGUUUGUCGUUGUUUUCAAUGUCUUUACUUCGUUCCUGAUUUAUGUGAUGUUCCAGACAAGUUGUAACUUAUCUCUUAUUUGUGUUUUUGGAGGAUUCAUGAGAUUAAGUCUGGAUCGAGUUUUAUCGCUAUGGUGAAGCUAACAAGACACCACAGAAGGCUUGAGCUUAGAAGUUAUUGAAUCCAAAAUCUUGAAGUGACCGCAGAAACUACCUUUUUAUAUUUUUUUUCCAUGAAUGCAGUUAGACAAUGGUGAUAUCAUAUGCUUUCAUAAAGCUUCUGCAAUGGGUAACAGGAGGAAUUAAAUAUACUGUUAAAGCUUCAUUGGUUACAUGAUUGGUCAAAACUUUCUCGAUGUUUGCAUAGGUUCAAGUGAUGGAAUUGUUUUUGUAUGAGAGGUUUUCAGAUUAGUCAUAAUUUGGCUUGGGGAACAAAGACAUAAGCCCAGCAGAGAAAAUGAUCUCUUUAUCUGAAGUUGUGAAGGAGCAUUGGACAACCUAUGGUAUAAAUUUAAAUGCUUAGGCUAUUGUUGGUCUGGGUUGAAAGUUAAAAGAUAUUCUAAUACUGGAAACUGUUUUUACAGCACUCAUUUAUAGCUUAUUUCGAAAAUGGUGUUUGAGAGCUAUGCCUUGAAGCAACUUGUGGUGGGCAGCUUGAAAGUGAGAUGGAAGAUCAAUAAAACCAUCAUACAUUAUGUAAAUAUAACUUAUUAAAAAAGAAUUCAUUUUAGUUUUUUGGUACUAUAAGAAUUGAAUGUUAUAAUGUGUCUACAAAGGAAAUAACAUAUUUUUAUAAUAUGCCAAUUUAU
This is a long non-coding RNA of Vicia villosa (hairy vetch), 914 nucleotides long. RefSeq lists it as uncharacterized. The record is from RefSeq and is a predicted model, not a curated record. The transcript is spliced from 3 exons. NCBI's taxonomy places the organism in Eukaryota, Viridiplantae, Streptophyta, Magnoliopsida, Fabales, Fabaceae.